AGAGGAGGUUAAACUAGAAUUGAGCUCUAACGUGGGAAGAAAUUUUAACUGAACUAAACAAAACGUUCACUACUCUGCAUAACAAAGAGCAGACUCUAGCAAGCUUAGAAGUCAGCUGGUCUACCCUCAGCAGGCUUUAAAAAAGACCCUUAAAAUACCCACCCCAACACAACACAACGAGAAAACAUCCUUGGAAUUGCCUCCAUUUCCAAUGAGCAUUUCUUAGAUGGGAGACCAGAACUGAGCUGGAGAAGCUGAAGAGUGAUUCAAGGUUAAAACUGGGUGCUUCCAUCUAGCUCUGCCUUCACCCCAACAGCCCUCCUGCAGGUUCAGCAACACCACACACCUGAGCUGCCUCUCUCACAGCCUCAUGAGCCCAUUCCAGCAACUCCCUGCAGCAUCUGCGUGUCAACACCUGUUCUGCUCCAGUCUUUGUCUGUGUUUGGGACCAGCUUUAACAAGUUGUGAAGUAGAAACAAAAUACAAAACCAAGGGAAAACAGAUCAGUGAAAGAGAUCAUUUAAUCAUAAAAAUCACUUAAUGCCAUACAACAAACCUAAAUAUCUGAAAAUGAAAAACUGCUAUCAUGCCUUUAAAAAGUUACAAAGGCAGGGAAUUAAAUACCAAUAUGCUUGACCGGUAAUCUGUACCCAAAGCAAUCUUAAGUGCUCCUUAAAUAUUCCUGUGCAGGAAAAUGAAAAGUAGAAGGAAAGUUCCACACCAUUCCACUAUAAGGGCUCAGCCUAAGAAACGGACCUUGCAAUUAGCAUCACUGCAGGAGUACUUAGUAUAAGAUGACUGAGAAGCUUUGGAUACUACUAGUAUUAACAACACAGGUGGGUUCCUUUUAUUAUUUUUUUUUUCUUUGACUUUUGAGUACAGUGAAUGCUCACAUAAUUAUGAUUUCGUUUAGAGAAGAGAUGGACAAAAGUUAUGACCAAUGCAUCCUUAUAAAUAUUCAUUGCUGGAAAACCUCAACUUUCUUUCUGAUAUAUUCAGCUAGAUGAAUUAGAUUUUAGCCAGUAACUGGUUAAUCAGCAUGAACACUUACCAAAACAGUUGAAAUUGGCAUAAAUUAAGGAAAUCCCACAGAGAAAACAUAGGAGAAAGAAGACAAAGCAGCAAUUUUUGUGAGGCAUUAUCCCCUUUAACAUUUUAGCUUGGUGAUCAAGGGAGGAUGUGUUCCCUUUUUGCCCACUCACAUAGAAUGUUAAGCACCAGCACAUUUGGUGUGCAGGUGGUAUCAGACCACUACGGUUUCCAACCCCGAUAAAAGAUGCAGUGGAAGACUGAUUAUUCCAGCUCAGAACAUCUCGCUCUCCCUUGGGUACAUACUUCACAUACACAUCUUGAGCAAGCCACCAGGAAACGGGGAGUGAGCACCACUCCUCCGAGUGCUUUCAGAGUGAAGGCUGGAACCACCCCAGUGCAGUUCUGCUGAGAUUUAUGAAGAUAUCAACACCCCUUCAAAGACAUGGCAUCAAAAGCUGAGCGACCCGAAAGAUCAAGGGCCCAGCCUUAUUCUAGUACAUCAGAGAUCACUGUUAACAUCAUAAAUUUGGCUGAUCAACUUAAAAAGACUGGAAGGGGUCAACUGAAUUCCAAGAUAGUUAAUCAAAUCCUACAAAAAAAAAAGAUCACCUAAAAACUGGUAAGCAAGGCAGUAAUGGCAAAACUAGAAACCUGACACUUAACUGAGCACAAGCCUAACUGUCAUACCUUGCAAAGAUGCUUUUAAUUCCAAAGAAAGGCAUUAAAUUCCCCUCUCUCUCUUCCUCCUCUGGGAAAAAAAAAAAUUCUACCACAGAAUGAAUAGAGCGAAUCCACAACCUGGAUCUCCUCCAGCAUUUAGGACUCUCAUGCAAGAAUAUUAAAGCAGUUGCUUAACAACUAUCCAAAGAGUUAACUACUAAGAUGAAUUAAUAGAGAAAAAGAAUUAAUAGUCUUAUUUCCCUUUGCACAUGUUACAGAAGAUCCGAGAUAACUGCCCAAUACACUUUAUACAAACAAAGAAGACUUCAUUCAAGCAUAAACAUACAGAAUUAACUACAACGGAAGGACAUCAAACCAAAAUGCUCAGGCUUUUGAAAUAAAUGAGUAAUUUCAUGGUUCAUACUAGCUAACGCAACAUUUACAAGAGCAAUAAAAUCUCAGGUUGGGAAGGACUGAGUUCAUUCCCCUGGCAUCAGCAGGACUUCCUCCUGUAUCCAUAUAUAUAUAUCACUGGCUAUUUGCAUUUCUGUUAAUUUAAACAUGGGCCUGACUUCUUGUUCAGUACCGAUAUUGGCCAAUGACUGAAGCAGAAGAUGGGAAGACAGUCCAGUUUACCCAAUUUCAAAUUCAAAAUGUAAAUAGUACGUUGGAUUUCAACUACCUAAAAAAAUAACCAGCGCCAUCAUGUUUGUGCUGCUUCACCAAGGCUCAAAAGCACAGAGCCCAGAAACCGCUACCCAUCACAGGCAGGUCACCCCAGCCCUUCCCUCUCCUCCACUUCUCAUAUAACUGACAUAUUCAGCUCUGCUGCUGCCCCCAAAACAAUGCAAGAAAGUGAUGCCAUUGUGUCUUCCUACAAUGACAAGGAUAGAAAAUGACUGUGCAUGAAGUACAAUGGGAAGGACUAAGAGAAGAGAGGGGAGAGUUUUGUAUUUAUUCCCUCGGUGACCCUCACUCACCCUUCAUCUUUGCCCUGCCCAACUAAGAUUGGGCGCUGUCGAUUGGAAACAUAACGCACUUCAGGCAGUGAAUCACCCCAUCAGAGCUCCAACACAAUGCUCUCCUCUUCCCCCCCAGCCCCCUCUCAGAAUAAUACAUAUGAGCAAACACAUAUACUCAUUAAAAAUGAGUUACUACUUGAUGUAAAUCAUAUCCAGAUUGCAGUUGCUGAGAUCAGAGGAAAGAAUGAAAUUACUUAUGCCAAGACUCAAAUAGUUCACAACUUACGUCCCCACAUGAGGAACACUAUUUUCAGAUGGCACACACUCCAGGCUUCAUUUGAAGAAGAUUUAGUCAUGAUUAGAUUUUUAAUAAAGAACGAGCCAUUCCAAGCAACUCUAUUCAGCAGCACUUCUAAAAGCACUCACACAAUACUGUUGUGAAGAAAGAGUAAAAGGCAUUUUCUGUUUUCAUUCUUACAUUAUUUCAUGAGCACACAAAGGACAAUACGUGAUGACAACUAGAGAGUUAUUCUCUACUUUAUUGCAGGAACACAUUUUAAAAUUAAAAACCAUGAACAAAUCUACAGAAUAAUUCAGUUUUCAUAUCAAACAGCUGCAGACCCUGUAACUGAAAUAGUAUGUCUAAGGUUAUAAAUGAAAACUGUUCAGUAUCAUUCUUUGAGUGACAGAUUAAAUUCCUAAUCCAGUUAUGGUAAUGGCCACAUUUGUAGUUUAACAUAAAUUAAGAGCUUAAUUAUAUUUGUGACUAUUUUAAACAAAAUAACAAAUUCCUUUGUACCUGUGAACGUAAUUUAUAGCAAAGCCAUGUUCAUUUUCCAAAACAAUCUAUUUUAGACUGCAGCCCAACACUGCUCUAAUGGUAUAAUGUAAUUCUAGUUGUAGAAUGUGGAAAGAGUAGAUUCACUGGUAGCGCAGAGGUUUUGAAGAUAAAUGAAGAUGCUAUUCAUUCAGGGGUAAUUUCAUCUUAGAACUAUAUGAAAGAUGUUUCACUCACAAAAGGUACCUGUAUGGCUUGGGAUUUAAGCAUGUUUUCAGCUACAACAUAAUGCUGCUAGAUUGAUUAUGUUGAUACUGCAUUUCUCAUCAUGAAGAAUUCCAGCUUUUAUUCUCUUUAAAAAAAAAAAAAGAGACCAUCAGAUUUUCAUUUCACUAUGCCUUUGUUCAAACCUCAGCAACAAGUUCAAAUUUCUCCUAAUGUUUUGUCUAGAGGAAAACCAAACCACAAUUCAUACACACACAAAAAAAAUCACAAAUCUGUAGAGAGCAAUUAAUCAUGUGUGAUUUACACAUUUAUUUGAUUACUUGUUGAAGUAAAUAAGCAGUUAGUCUGUGUAACACAAUUUUAAAUUGCCCAAACAUCCUUCUGUCAUUCAGGACUAAGAACAGACAAUUCUAAAUGCACUUUCCUGGAAUAUAUUAAGACCAUUUACAGGGACAUCAAUUGCACUAGCAAUUAAUACAUAUCUUAACGUAAUGAGCUGUAUAACCUCAGGAUAGCUACUAGAAUUUCCACAGUCCUGAACAAUCUAGACAGCCUUUUAAGCAAGACUCUAACGCUACCUGCAUAAAUAUUUCAGAAGAAUCUGCAAGGACAGAGGUAGUCUAACCACUCACAUUCCUCCUCCUGACAAGUUGGGACAGCACAGAGAUGCUCUGUGCUGCAUUUGAGGCCACAGGCCCAGCAAAGCACAGCUGCAUUAAGCCCCUGCCGCCUCCUCUGCUGCACCAGUGCUGCCCAGUCGCUGGCCAAAAGGCUUUAUCUGCGCCCAGUAUCAGUAGGAAGACGGGGCCUGGGCAGGCCCUCUGCUUCAGGCUGAAGCAUGGUCUCCUUUGGUUAUCAGGUUUGAUCCAAGUUCAUGGCUGAAAGUAAUUGAAAAACCGUAGCCUACCUGCACAAGAAUAAAGCAGUAUCCUAAAGUAUAUAAAACUCAAAAAAAAAAAAAAGUGUUUAUAGACAUACAAACACACAGCAGACCUAACUCACCAUCUGUAAGAGAUGAAGACAAGGGUGGCCUGGCUUCUGGAAGGCCUUGGGUCUGGUGAUCGUCCUUACAGAAAGGCCCAUAACCCACUUCUUAAAUUGCACAAUUCUUUCUUUUAUUUUUCCAGCUGACCACGCACUACUUAGGUUUCUUUCUCCCAGAUACCUCCACACGAAGUAUCAUAUAAAAACACUACGUUGCAAGAAAUUAUAUGCAGAAACUUACACCCAUUCUAUCUUCUGUUUGCCAGUACACAGCAACAGUGUCUAAAGGCACCAGACCUACAGGCCAGACAUGCAUAAAGGCAGGCUGAGCAGCACCUCAAGUACCUGGCAGACAAAUGUAAA
Long non-coding RNA from Cygnus olor (mute swan), 5004 nucleotides. RefSeq lists it as uncharacterized. The record is from RefSeq and is a predicted model, not a curated record. NCBI's taxonomy places the organism in Eukaryota, Metazoa, Chordata, Aves, Anseriformes, Anatidae. The transcript has 2 exons.